RNAcentral lists this unclassified non-coding RNA (17 nucleotides) under Mus musculus (house mouse). Its description in RNAcentral is "oocyte_clustered_small_RNA1394". The record is from RNAcentral. Lineage: Eukaryota; Metazoa; Chordata; Mammalia; Rodentia; Muridae.
ACAAAAGAAUGGAUGGG